RNAcentral lists this ribosomal RNA (434 nucleotides) under uncultured archaeon. RNAcentral's name for it is "bacterial SSU rRNA". It matches the Rfam family "Archaeal small subunit ribosomal RNA", at positions 19 to 458 of the family's 1478-position model. The record is from RNAcentral.
GGACCUGACUGCUAUCGGAUUGAUACUAAGCCAUGCUAGUCUUUGUAGUAAUACAAGGCAUACGGCUCAGUAACGCGUAGUCAACCUACCCUAUGGACGGGGAUAAUCUCGGGAAACUGAGCAUAAUACCCGGUAGACCACUUCUCCUGGAAUGGUUAGUGGUUAAAAUGAUUCGUCGCCAUAGGAUGGGACUGCGGCCUAUCAGCUUGUUGGUGAGGUAAUGGCCCACCAAGGCGAUUACAGGUACGGGCUCUGAGAGGAGAAGCCCGGAGAUGGGUACUGAGACAAGGACCCAGGCCCUAUGGGGCGCAGCAGGCGAGAAAACUUUGCAAUGUGCGAAAGCACGACAAGGUUAAUCCGAGUGAUUUCUGCUAAAGGAAUCUUUUGUUAGUUCUAAAUAUACUAGUGAAUAAGGGGUGGGCAAGUUCUGGUGU